AUUGAACGCUGGCGGCAGGCCUAACACAUGCAAGUCGAGCGGAGCGGCGGACGGGUGAGUAAUGCCUGGGAAUAUGCCUGGUAGUGGGGGAUAACGUCCGGAAACGGGCGCUAAUAACGCAUACUAUCAGAUGAGCCUAGGUCGGAUGAGCUAGUAGGUGGGGUAACGGCUCACCUAGGCGACGAUCCCUAGCUGGUCUGAGAGGAUGACCAGCCAAACUGGAACUGAGACACGGUCCAGACUCCUACGGGGGGCAGCAGUGGGGAAUAUUGCACAAUGGUCUAAAUCCUGAUGCAGCCAUGCCGCGUGUGUGAAGAAGGCCUUCGGUUUGUAAAGCACUUUCAGCGAGGAGGCGUUACUCGCAGAAGAAGCACCGGCUAACUCCGUGCCAGCAGCCGCGGUAAUAC
RNAcentral lists this ribosomal RNA (407 nucleotides) under uncultured bacterium. RNAcentral describes it as "partial 16S ribosomal RNA". It matches the Rfam family "Bacterial small subunit ribosomal RNA", at positions 30 to 526 of the family's 1533-position model. The record is from RNAcentral.